Molecule: ribosomal RNA, 253 nt
Filed under: uncultured bacterium
Lineage: Bacteria
Description: partial 16S ribosomal RNA
Rfam family: Bacterial small subunit ribosomal RNA
Source: RNAcentral
GACAGAGGGUGCAAACGUUGCUCGGAAUUACUGGGCGUAAAGCGCGUGUAGGCUGACCGGAAAGUCGGGCGUGAAAUCCCUGGGCUCAACCCAGGAACUGCACUCGAAACUCCCGGUCUUGAGUGGUGGAGAGGGAAGUGGAAUUCCUGGUGUAGAGGUGAAAUUCGUAGAUAUCAGGAGGAACACCAGUGGCGAAGGCGGCUUCCUGGACACCAACUGACGCUGAGACGCGAAAGCGUGGGGAGCAAGCAGG